Pelobates cultripes (western spadefoot toad) is the source of this 246-nucleotide non-coding RNA. The record is from the annotation of a GenBank genome assembly. NCBI's taxonomy places the organism in Eukaryota, Metazoa, Chordata, Amphibia, Anura, Pelobatidae.
CUAACGCGCGCGCGAGUCAGAGGGCUCGCAGCCAGACCCCGCGGCGCAAUGAAGGUGAGGGCCGGGGCGCCCCGUCCGGGAGGUGGAGCGCGAGCGCGCGAUAGGACCCGAAAGAUGGUGAACUAUGCCUGGGCAGGGCGAAGCCAGAGGAAACUCUGGUGGAGGUCCGCAGCGGUCCUGACGUGCAAAUCGGUCGUCCGACCUGGGUAUAGGGGCGAAAGACUAAUCGAACCGUCUAGUAGCUGG